RNAcentral lists this ribosomal RNA (280 nucleotides) under uncultured bacterium. RNAcentral's name for it is "partial 16S ribosomal RNA". It matches the Rfam family "Bacterial small subunit ribosomal RNA", at positions 506 to 784 of the family's 1533-position model. The record is from RNAcentral.
UGCCAGCAGCCGCGGUAACACGGGGGGCGCAAGCGUUAUUCGGAAUUAUUGGGCGUAAAGGGCGCGCAGGCGGUCUUGUCAGUCAGGUGUGAAAGCCCGGGGCUCAACCCCGGAUGGUCACUUGAAACAGCAAGACUUGAGUACGGGAGAGGAGAGAGGAAUUCCUGGUGUAGAGGUGGAAUGCGUAGAUAUCGGGAAGAACAUCGGUGGCGAAGGCGACUUGCUGGGCCGGAUGCUGACGCUGAGACGCGAAAGCGUGGGGAGCAAACAGGAUUAGAUA